CGGUAUGCGUAUAUCUUUUCUGAGUAACAUUAUUGUCGUUUGUUUUUCUUACAGCUAACUGUUUCCUGCUCGGCCGAGUGUGGUAGGAAAAAUGUUACCGUUCUCUCAAGGAAGCCAUGCGCAGUCGUUACCAAUCCCGGCGGGGGAACGGCAAGAUUUGGGACUAGGGCGUGCCGCGUUGGCACAUGUUUGAGUGGAUCUUGUUCACCCACACGGCGCGAGACUAUCUGCCAAGUACGACAAGCGAUCUUUCAUCGAAAUUAUCAUUGAUAUUAAAGUGCUCAUAAGUAUUACACGCAA
Molecule: long non-coding RNA, 300 nt
Filed under: Dermacentor andersoni
Lineage: Eukaryota; Metazoa; Arthropoda; Arachnida; Ixodida; Ixodidae
Description: uncharacterized LOC126539519
Source: RNAcentral